AAUGUCCUCAUUUAAAAUCGCUGGAAACGGUGCUUUAAAGAAUCAAAACUGGUUUAGCACACCAAACCAUCUGACUUUCUCUCCAACUGAAACUGCCUCACUGGUUCUUCUCGCUCGAAACCAAUCUUUGCUUCAUUUCGUGUGGGAAAUGGAUGACUCUCGUGUGGAACCAAUCUAGCAUGAGAUUUUUUCAGCACGAAGCGCCAUUAUUGAUGAAGAAUACUGGGUGAGUAAGACAAUUCUCUUGAUUCCGACCGAACCCAUCUUCUUCUUCUCGAGAUUAACUUUUGGUUCGUGUUUGUGAUUGACAGCGGCAGCUUGGCUACGUGCAGAGAGAGAGAGUCAUUGGGAAGAUGGUGCUAAAUGAUCCUUAGGAGAUAUGUUGAUAACUUCAAAAGAAGGAGUUCAAUGCCAUAAAAAAAACAAGGAUGUAAAAGGAAGAGCUCCAAGGCCAGAAUUGUUCCUGCAGUAUCCGUCGCGGUUGCUGGGGAUAGUAGUAGGAAAAAAAAAGCAAGUGAAAGAACUAAGGAGGAAGCUUCAAGGUGAAGAUUGUGUGUUCUGAGCUGUUUCUAGCUCCGAGUCCCUCCCUGGUGAGUGGUGAGUCUCCCUCAACUUCUUUUAUAAUAAUUGUUGUUUGUUCUGCGGAAUGUCUUACGUAGAGGAGGAUCCUAGUCACUAAACUC
Molecule: long non-coding RNA, 683 nt
Organism: Raphanus sativus (radish)
Lineage: Eukaryota; Viridiplantae; Streptophyta; Magnoliopsida; Brassicales; Brassicaceae
Exons: 3
Source: RefSeq, a predicted model, not a curated record